RNAcentral lists this ribosomal RNA (119 nucleotides) under Pelobates cultripes (western spadefoot toad). Lineage: Eukaryota; Metazoa; Chordata; Amphibia; Anura; Pelobatidae. The record is from RNAcentral.
GCCUACGGCCAUACCAGUCUGAAAGUGCCUGAUCUCGUCAGAUCUCAGAAGUCAUGCAGACUUUGGCUUGAUUAGUACUUGUAUGGGAGACCAACUAGGAACCUUAGGUGCCCUAGGCU